This is a long non-coding RNA of Panicum virgatum (switchgrass), 940 nucleotides long. RefSeq lists it as uncharacterized. The record is from RefSeq and is a predicted model, not a curated record. The transcript is spliced from 3 exons. Lineage: Eukaryota; Viridiplantae; Streptophyta; Magnoliopsida; Poales; Poaceae.
UUCGAAUUGGCACAAGGCCCUGCCUCUCCUCUCCCCACCCCAACCUCAUCGCCUGCCUUCAGUCCGCCGCCGUCGGCCGUCGUUCAGCUGAGGUUGCCGUCCCGUCCGCGCCUGGCACCACCAAUCGAGCAUUAAACACAAGAACAGACGGCUCAACUUCCAUCUCGACUCCAGCUGGGCUCUCAGUUGCAACGUGGUAAACCACAUCGACCUCGUCGACAUUUGUGACAGUUCUUGAUACAGUGACUGGGUACCUCAGAUCUGGAACCGAGAUGGAUGGCAGGUUCAAGAGAUGCCCUGGCACCACUGUUGUAUUACAACUUCCGGAUCUUUUGAUGAUGCAAUUAAAUACGUUGUUGUAAUCGUUUGGAUUGAUGUCAUAGAUCAGUCCAGGAUCUGCUGCUCUGUUAGGGUUGAUGUGCCCACCUCCAAAGUCAAAUGGGUCCGCAAUCUUUCGAGGCAACCCAUCAGCCAGUAUUGGCAUGCCAUGUUCAUCAGUUACAGAUGCUUCACCAUGCAAAAUGAAAUAGAGAUUUCAGUGCAGCAGGAGACCAUUGUGGAUGUAGAACUUUCAGCAAGGCGAUGAUGCCAGCUACGUGCGGAGCAGACAUUGAUGUCCCCGACGCAAACUUAUAGGAGUCUCGCAUUGCUGCUAAGAUGCCGACUCCAGGUGCUGCUAUGUCAGGCUGUUGAGGAAGCAAGAGCGAAGUGAGACGGCUUGGUAAUGCCUACUGCCUAGAAAGCAUGGUAGUAACCUCUUUACACUAGGUACCUUAAUAACAUCAGCGUUGUAGAUUGAUGGACCUCUGGAGGAGAAUGCUGCCACUUUGGGAGCCAAUAGCUCUUUACUCGUAAAGCUACGCGCUGGUUCAAUCUUUGCCACAGGAGAGCUGCUUGAGACAAUCAUAACUCAUCAAAAAAAAAACCAGGAGUUCACCAA